UACGGAGGGGGCUAGCGUUGUUCGGAAUUACUGGGCGUAAAGCGCACGUAGGCGGCUUUGUAAGUCAGAGGUGAAAGCCCGGAGCUUAACUCCGGAAUUGCCUUUGAGACUGCAUCGCUUGAAUCCAGGAGAGGUGAGUGGAAUUCCGAGUGUAGAGGUGAAAUUCGUAGAUAUUCGGAAGAACACCAGUGGCGAAGGCGGCUCACUGGACUGGUAUUGACGCUGAGGUGCGAAAGCGUGGGGAGCGAACAGG
Molecule: ribosomal RNA, 253 nt
Filed under: uncultured bacterium
Lineage: Bacteria
Description: partial 16S ribosomal RNA
Rfam family: Bacterial small subunit ribosomal RNA
Source: RNAcentral